RNAcentral lists this long non-coding RNA (1665 nucleotides) under Phoenix dactylifera (date palm). RNAcentral's name for it is "long non-coding RNA (PDAC_LNC005168)". Lineage: Eukaryota; Viridiplantae; Streptophyta; Magnoliopsida; Arecales; Arecaceae. The record is from RNAcentral.
UGAUUUGGGUGUGAUUGGUGUCAUUUGAAUGGGGCGAAUGAGGUUUUCUCGAAACUUGUAUGUAGUUGGUUGGUAAGAAUGUUGGAUUCAGAGGGGAAACUUUUGUGAGACAUUAGUGACUACGGUAAGGCUUGCAUCGCAGCCUUGAUAAAUUUGUGGGGCAUUGAGAGGGUUUAUGGAAGCGAAAGAUUGGGGUGGAAAAUAGAAAGAAGAGUGCGGUAGGGGACAUGAAAGAUGACCUGUCGCAAAUUGUUCUGGGUUCAUGUCAUGUGCAUAUGUCAGGAUCUGUGGUGAAUUGCUUUUCUGAUUUUGUAGAGAAGAAGUAGCUGGGAAGAAGAAGAGCGUGCACAUAUAAGAGGGAGAAAGCGUAGAAAAUAACUUUUAUUAAUCUUUUCUUCUAAAAGACAUGACACAAUCUCUCUACAAACUCACUUGCUACUCACAGCUAGUAAGUGACAUUCUCCCUAGAUCCCUCUGUAGCUCUCUCUUAACCUAAGGGAUUCUGUGUUCUAACUCCAAGUUCAAAGACACUCUCCAAAAGUGCUAUGUGACCAUGAUAUAUAGCCAUGCGUCAACUCAUAGUCCUUUUUCCAUGCAUCAACUCAUAUUCCUUUGUCCUCUCAUAUUUAAACUCCUAACCACUAUCUCACAGCUGCUCCAUAGACUGGUCGAUUAUUCUGUAAUUCCUUGGUAUUUGAAAAAAGAAUUCCUAGUGCAAGUUGAACUUUCACAGGCUAAACUCUAUUCUAAUCCUAUUUGCGUUUAGUACUCAUUUAAAGUAGAUGAUAUUGAAUACGAGGAAUAGGAAAUAAAACCUUUUACAUCAACUGGUUCACACAUAGACCUCACAUUAACAACGCUGACUGAUGCGCUCCUUAACUAACAUAUUCCAUAAUUACAUAAAUUAAGACCUCACAUUGCAUCGCAGCCUUGAUAAAUUUGUGGGGCAUUGAGAGGGUUUAUGGAAGCGAAAGAUUGGGGUGGAAAAUAGAAAGAAGAGUGCGGUAGGGGACAUGAAAGAUGACCUGUCGCAAAUUGUUCUGGGUUCAUGUCAUGUGCAUAUGUCAGGAUCUGUGGUGAAUUGCUUUUCUGAUUUUGUAGAGAAGAAGUAGCUGGGAAGAAGAAGAAGAGCAUGCACAUAUAAGAGGGAGAAAGCAUAGAAAAUAACUUUUAUUAAUCUUUUCUUCUAAAAGACAUGACACAAUCUCUCAACAAACUCACUUGCUACUCACAGCUAGUAAGUGACAUUCUCCCUAGAUCCCUCUGUAGCUCUCUCUUAACCUAAGGGAUUCUGUGUUCUAACUCCAAGUUCAAAGACACUCUCCAAAAGUGCUAUGUGACCAUGAUAUAUAGCCAUGCGUCAACUCAUAGUCCUUUUUCCAUGCAUCAACUCAUACUCCUUUGUCCUCUCAUAUUUAAACUCCUAACCACUAUCUCACAGCUGCUCCAUAGACUGGUCGAUUAUUCUGUAAUUCCUUGGUAUUUGAAAAAAGAAUUCCUAGUGCAAGUUGAACUUUCACAGGCUAAACUCUAUUCUAAUCCUAUUUGCGUUUAGUACUCAUUUAAAGUAGAUGAUAUUGAAUACGAGGAAUAGGAAAUAAAACCUUUUACAUCAACUGGUUCACACAUAGACCUCACAUUAACAACGCUGACUGAUGCGCUCCU